AACGCACAUUGCGCCCAUAAGUAUUCUUGUGGGCAUGCCUGUUCGAGCGUCAUUUCAACCUUCAGUUUUUAACUGAUGUUGAGAAUUGCGUGUGAACGCAGUUUUCUAAAGAAAUUGGCAAGUAAAUGUAAAGCCGAGUGUAGUAAAUCUUCUCUCACUUUUGGUUUUUUUACAUUGACUUUCGAAAAGUGUUUCGACACAAAAAAGGUUGACCUCGAAUCAGGUAGGAAUACCCGCUGAACUUAA
RNAcentral lists this unclassified non-coding RNA (246 nucleotides) under uncultured fungus. RNAcentral's name for it is "partial contains 5.8S ribosomal RNA, internal transcribed spacer 2, and large subunit ribosomal RNA". Lineage: Eukaryota; Fungi. The record is from RNAcentral.